GUUGCGAUAUUUUGAAGUGUAUCUCUUGCCAUAUACCUAUACCUUAACGAAAAACCGUGAGAAAACAUCUCGCUUUUACAUUCAACCUCCUUAUUAUUUGUUGAAGUGGUUUAUCAUGCUUACGUACCAUCAUUUUUAAUUUUUUUAAAUAAUUUUCAAGGGAAAAGCAGCAAUAUUAUCUAAAGGGCUAAUUUUUGACAUUUUAUGUCUUUGCUUUGGCACACAUAAUCGAAAACCGUUACGGAAGAGUGUUACGGUUACCCUGGUUAUAUGGUUACCUGGAUAUCGGUGGGUCACCGCUCCGGCAACAGCCCUGGUGGUGUACGGAGCUAUUGUCUCUAAAAAAAGGAUCUCCAAAGGAUUAGGAGAGCUGGCCUCAAACGUACUAACUGACUGGCGUACAACUUUACACGCAACAGCUACCUGAAUAGGAUCAGAUCCGCGGAGACUUGGCGCAACUUAGCGAGAAACUAGAAUAAAAACACACAGGGCAAGGCCUUUAGCUGGGCAAAGAAUGGCUGGAGGAUACGAGUGGUCCACUUCGACUGUGACUCGCGCAAACGGCACCUCUACGAACACACUGAGUGGAAUCUGGUACUUAGCACCUUCUUCUCGAGAGAGAAACGCCGGAGAGAGUUCAUACCACAUGGGCACAUGGCCCGCUAAACGAACACGGUGGUACCGUGGAUACAGACAGGGUAAGAUCAGCCAUCUUGAGAAUGAACCCGGGGAAGUCUCUAGGCGCUGAUGGGAUAACAGCUGGAUUGCUGAAGAAAGCGUUGCUGGUCCUCUAAGAAGAGAUCGUAGGCCUGUUCUGAACAUGCAUUGAGGAGGCCAUCUUUCCACAAACGUGGAAGGACACAAAACUAGUCGUGAUACUCAAGACAGGCAAAACGGACAUGUCUAAAUAGUCGUAUGGCUCACCGGCCUCAUCGACAUGAUGAGCCUGCUACCUGCAAUCGCUAAGGUAUUGGAGAUGUUGGUCAUACAGGAUCUGGAACGCGAGAUAGAGCUCAAAAAAUUCCCACAGCAGUACUGCUUCAUACUCGGAAGAUCCACAGUGUCUGCCAUAAAAACGCCGUAUGUUUGUACGGAUUCCAACAAUAGUCUUUGGGGUGUUCCUGGUUAGAUUAGGUUAGGUUCACUGCAAACUAUUAACAUGGUUAGCGACUACUUUGGAGGACGCACAGUGAGCUUUACCCUAGAAGAUGGACGGUACGCAAAGACAAUUGAGCAAGGGUGUCCCCAGGGGCUUAAUUGGGGUCGCGUUAUUAAAGGUUACCAUGACCGGAAUCGGCGGAGAGCGUCGUUGAAACGUAGGCUCAGGCCGGGCAGCAGAAGUACGAGCACGAAGUCCGUGUGAAAAAAUAUUAACUGAAUCUGACUUGUGAAAUUUUAGUCGUUAACAUGUGUUGCAAUGAAAACGUUACUAACAUGUGUGGCAAAGACUCUACAGGUUUAUUGGGGUAUUUAAGGUAUGCAUGUCAGAACAUGUCGGACCAUCGUCAAAAUAAAUUUUUAUAUGGUAAAUAGGUUAUUAUUUUAAAAAGAUUUUUAAACACACCAUGUGAUAACUGGUCGUCGAUAAUAACUUUUCUACAGCAGUGGAAUUAAACAUUGUUUUUACGGAUAGAUAGCGCACUAAGUAUGUUUCAACGGGAACGGUGAUAUCGCGGCGUCGGUCGGUGAGGGUGAAGGAGCUGCAACAAGGAGGGGCUCAGCGGCUCAACAUUUAAAACUCUCAUUUUCCAUCUACCAAAAAAGUUAAACUUAUAUUUUUCUUUUUUCGUAUACCACAUAUUUUGUAUUUUCCCUCACCAGAAUUAAUGUUGUAUAGUUAUAAAUAGUUUCAUUAAAUUUCCAUGACAAUGAACGAAUUAUUACAGAAUCAAAAUUGUAUAAAUAAUUUUAUUUAGUAAAUAUAUUUUAGUUUAAAUUUUUUAAACAUUAAUAUUUAACAAUUUUAAAUUCAUGUAGACGAUAAAAAGUAUUAUAAUAUAUUAUAUUGUAUCCAAGACAAUGUUCAAUUCUGGGAUAUUAAAUUUUUUUUCAACUGUGAGAAACCCUCAGCGGCUUGUGAAACCCGUAGAGACAAGUAUUUCACCCAUAAUUGACAUAGCAAUGAAGGUGAACAAAGUCAAACAGGACGACCUACAACCUUUGGAAGCGCUGAACAAACGCAUGUCUCGUGCGUUUAAGAUGAUCAAUCGAUUGGAAAAAAAUAGACACAGGGCAGAAGUGGCUCUGAGGUUGGAGAUAAUGGAGUUAUUAGAGGAUAGACGUUUGUUGAUCGAACUGAGAAAUGAUCCACCGGUUUCAAUUGGCACACAGACAUAUUUUGUGAAAAAACCAUGCCGUGUUAGGUUCGAAAUACCAGGAGUGACUUGGGAAGAAGAUACAAUAAAUGAAAUUUGGCAAUACCCAAAAAUGAUUAUAUCGUUUAUAACAAAAAUGUGGGUAAUUGUAAAGUUUAUUGUGAAACAUUUAAAAAAUCCAGUUAUGUUACACAAUAUGGCCGCAAAAAUAUAUGUUGGAUUUGAAAAAAUUAUCCAUAUAACAACGAAAAUUGAUAUUCCAAAUAACGAAACUACGAUAAACUUCAGAUUAUUUCCACGGAAUUCCACAUAAGUAUUAAACAUUUAAGAAAAUUCUUUCAGUGGUAUGUGGAAAUAAUAAAGCUUAUACAGACAAAGAAGUUUUAAAUACAAUAAUGAUUUUUUUAAACACUAUUACUUUACAGUUUUUAAAGUUGUGUAGACAAUAAAAAAUAUUAUUAUAUACUAGACUGUAAACACGACGAUGUUCGACUUCAAGAUAUUUAAUUUUUUGUUGGCCCCAAGACAACUUAUAUAAUUGGAGUGUUAUGACUGAAAGCUGUAAGAAACGUUAAAGAAAAAUGAUUAAUCCACUAUUUUACAUAAAUAUCCAUUUAUCAUGUGUUGUUUUUUACUAUUUUAAACAACUCAAGAUUUUUCUCUGAAUAUGAUGAUAAACACUGAGGACGAGUGGAAAAAAAUAUUCAGAACGAAUUUUAUACACGUUGGAAUAUUCCAAACUAUGUCGGAGCAGUGGACAAAAAACAUAAUUUAAUCUGGUGUCAGAAAAAUACUAAAUCUGAGGGACUCAUUUUCGAUUCCUGAAAUAGGUGAAGAUAAAAGCGAUGGACCCACUUAAGAGCUUGAAACCUGAAGAGUUACAACACUGCUUCGAACAAUGGAAUACAUGAAUAUAACGGUGUUUAAUUAAGGAUGGAGAGUAUACAGAAGGGAUCACAUUUAAUUAUCGUUAUUUUA
Molecule: RNA transcript, 3293 nt
Organism: Aphis gossypii (cotton aphid)
Lineage: Eukaryota; Metazoa; Arthropoda; Insecta; Hemiptera; Aphididae
Exons: 6
Source: RefSeq, a predicted model, not a curated record